Molecule: ribosomal RNA, 483 nt
Filed under: Curtobacterium citreum
Lineage: Bacteria; Bacillati; Actinomycetota; Actinomycetes; Micrococcales; Microbacteriaceae
Description: bacterial SSU rRNA
Rfam family: Bacterial small subunit ribosomal RNA
Source: RNAcentral
GAGUUUGAUCCUGGCUCAGGACGAACGCUGGCGGCGUGCUUAACACAUGCAAGUCGAACGAUGAUGCCCAGCUUGCUGGGCGGAUUAGUGGCGAACGGGUGAGUAACACGUGAGUAACCUGCCCCUGACUCUGGGAUAAGCGUUGGAAACGACGUCUAAUACUGGAUAUGAUCACCGACCGCAUGGUCUGGUGGUGGAAAGAUUUUUUGGUUGGGGAUGGACUCGCGGCCUAUCAGCUUGUUGGUGAGGUAAUGGCUCACCAAGGCGACGACGGGUAGCCGGCCUGAGAGGGUGACCGGCCACACUGGGACUGAGACACGGCCCAGACUCCUACGGGAGGCAGCAGUGGGGAAUAUUGCACAAUGGGCGAAAGCCUGAUGCAGCAACGCCGCGUGAGGGAUGACGGCCUUCGGGUUGUAAACCUCUUUUAGUAGGGAAGAAGCGAAAGUGACGGUACCUGCAGAAAAAGCACCGGCUAACUAC